Molecule: non-coding RNA, 96 nt
Organism: Drosophila mojavensis
Lineage: Eukaryota; Metazoa; Arthropoda; Insecta; Diptera; Drosophilidae
Source: Rfam
CCUUCGAUAGCUCAGUUGGUAGAGCGGUGGACUGUAGAACGGCAAUUGCAAGAAAUAGACAUCCAUAGGUCGCUGGUUCGACUCCGGCUCGAAGGA